GUCGGCGAGUCGGGCUGUUUGGGAAUGCAGCCCUAAGUGGGUGGUAAAUUCCAUCCAAGGCUAAAUAUUGGCAGGAGACCGAUAGCGAACAAGUACCGCGAGGGAAAGAUGAAAAGGACUUUGAAAAGAGAGUUAAAAAGUGCUUGAAAUUGCUGGGAGGGAAGCGAAUGGAAGCUGCGGGUGCGCCCCGGUUGGAUGUGGAACGGCCCCUCGGCUGGUCCGCCGCUCAACGCGGGGCGCUGGUCAGCGUGGGCCGCCGUGGCGGGACAAGAGCGGGAUGUAGCUUCCCGCCUAUGCCGUUGCGGCGGCCGAGGAACGAAGCGCGCGGGGCCCCUCGGUGCCCCGUGGGAUCCGUCCCAACUGCGCGCUCGGGACGCUGGCGUAUUGGGCUCUUCAUCCGACCCGUCUUGAAACACGGACCAAGGAGUCUAACAUGUAUGCGAGCCGGUGGGCGGCAAACCCAUUGAGGCGCAAGGAAACUGACAGGUGGGACCCCGCUGAUCCAGGGAGCACCAUCGACCGACCGUGAUCUUCUGUGAAAGGUUCGAGUGUGAGCAUACCUGUUGGGACCCGAAAGAUGGUGAACUAUGCCUGAGCAGGGCGAAGCCAGAGGAAACUCUGGUGGAGGCUCGUAGCGAUACUGACGUGCAAAUCGUUCGUCAGACUUGGGUAUAGGGGCGAAAGACUAAUCGAACCAUCUAGUAGCUGGUUCCCUCCGAAGUUUCC
RNAcentral lists this ribosomal RNA (726 nucleotides) under Hypnodontopsis spathulatus. RNAcentral's name for it is "eukaryotic LSU rRNA". It matches the Rfam family "Eukaryotic large subunit ribosomal RNA", at positions 256 to 971 of the family's 3401-position model. Lineage: Eukaryota; Viridiplantae; Streptophyta; Bryopsida; Dicranales; Rhachitheciaceae. The record is from RNAcentral.